Molecule: ribosomal RNA, 414 nt
Filed under: uncultured microorganism
Description: bacterial SSU rRNA
Rfam family: Archaeal small subunit ribosomal RNA
Source: RNAcentral
CAGCCGCCGCGGUAAUACCGGCGGCCCGAGUGGCGGCCACUAUUAUUGGGCCUAAAGCGUCCGUAGCCGGGCUGGUAAGUCCUCCGGGAAAUCUGGUCGCUUAACGAUCAGACUUCCGGAGGAUACUGCUGGCCUAGGGACCGGGAGAGGCCGAGGGUAUUCCCGGGGUAGGGGUGAAAUCCUAUAAUCCCGGGAGGACCACCUGUGGCGAAGGCGCUCGGCUGGAACGCGUCCGACGGUGAGGGACGAAGGCCAGGGGAGCAAACCGGAUUAGAUACCCGGGUAGUCCUGGCUGUAAACGAUGCGGACUUUGUGUCGGACAAGCUAUGAGCUUGUCCGGUGCCGGAGGGAAACCGUUAAGUCCGCCGCCUGGGGAGUACGGCCGCAAGGCUGAAACUUAAAGGAAUUGGCGGG